GGAUGAACGCUGGCGGCGUGCUUAAUACAUGCAAGUCGAACGAGGGACUUCUGUCUUCGGAUGGAGGUUUCCUAGUGGCGAACGGGUGAGUAACGCGUUGGUGACCUGCCCCGAAGUGGGGGAUAACAGUUCGAAAGGACUGCUAAUACCUCAUGUGAUCAGCUGGAUUAGAUGCCUACUGAUUAAAGGCGAAAGCCGCUUUGGGAGGGGCCUGCGUCCCAUCAGCUAGUUGGUAGGGUAAUGGCCUACCAAGGCGAUGACGGGUAGGGGACCUGAGAGGGUGGCCCCCCACACUGGCACUGAAACACGGGCCAGACACCUACGGGUGGCAGCAGUAGGGAAUAUUGGACAAUGGGCGAAAGCCUGAUCCAGCAACGCCGCGUGGAGGAUGAAAUACUUUAGUAUGUAAACUCCUGUAAGAGGGGAAAAAUAUACAGUUCUGCUGUAUUGAUUGUACCCUCAGAGUAAGCACCGGCUAACUACGUGCCAGCAGCCGCGGUAAUACGUAGGGUGCUAGAGUUGUCCGGAUUUACUGGGUGUAAAGGGUGCUCAGGUGGGUUUGUAAGUCAGAGGUGAAAUCCCAAAGCUUAACUUUGGAGCUGCCUUUGAUACUGCAAGCCUAGAGUUUGAGAGAGGGCAAUGGAAUAUCUGGUGUAGCAGUGAAAUGCGUAGAUAUCAGAUAGAACACCAAUGGCGAAGGCAGUUGCCUGGCUCAAAACUGACGCUAAAGCACGAAAGUGUGGGGAGCAAACAGGAUUAGAUACCCUGGUAGUCCACACCCUAAACGAUGAAUACUAGAUGUUGGUCUUUUUUAAGAUCAGUAUCCAAGCUAACGCAUUAAGUAUUCCACCUGGGAAGUACAAUCGCAAGGUUGAAACUCAAAGGAAUUGACGGGGGCCCGCACAAGCAGUGGAGCAUGUGGUUUAAUUCGACGCAACGCGAAGAACCUUACCUAGGCUUGAAACGCAGAUUAAUCCUGAUGAAAGUCAGGGUUCCGCAAGGAGAAUCUGUACAGGUGCUGCAUGGCUGUCGUCAGCUCGUGCCGUGAGGUGUUGGGUUAAGUCCCGCAACGAGCGCAACCCUCGUCCUUAGUUGCCAUCAGGUAAUGCUGAGCACUCUAAGGAGACUGCCUACGCAAGUAGUGAGGAAGGUGGGGAUGACGUCAAGUCCGCAUGGCCCUUACGCCUAGGGCCACACACGUGCUACAAUGGCCAUUACAAAGGGUUGCAAUACCGCGAGGUGGAGCCAAUCCCUAAAAAAUGGUCUCAGUUCGGAUUGGAGUCUGCAACUCGACUCCAUGAAGCUGGAAUUGCUAGUAAUCGCGCAUCAGCACGGCGCGGUGAAUACGUUCCCGGGCCU
This 1359-nucleotide ribosomal RNA is filed under the name uncultured bacterium. RNAcentral's name for it is "bacterial SSU rRNA". It matches the Rfam family "Bacterial small subunit ribosomal RNA", at positions 27 to 1381 of the family's 1533-position model. The record is from RNAcentral.